Ribosomal RNA from Pseudogymnoascus verrucosus, 87 nucleotides. It matches the Rfam family "Eukaryotic large subunit ribosomal RNA", at positions 3022 to 3108 of the family's 3401-position model. The record is from Rfam. Lineage: Eukaryota; Fungi; Ascomycota; Leotiomycetes; Thelebolales; Thelebolaceae.
AUUGAGUUCAGUACGAGAGGAACCGCUCAUUCAGAUAAUUGGGUUUUGCGGCUGUCUGACAGGGGAGUGCCGCGAAGCUACCACCCG